GAGAAGACGAGAAAAAGACAGAAGUAGAGGAAGACAACGUGGACACGACAGCAGCUCAGUCUACUUCUUUCUAUGCUAGUCUGGAGCCUCGACACAGGUCUAUUUACGAAGUGCUGGAUCGAUCAGCUGCUGCCACUCCGUCAGGACAAACUAAAACGAAGUCAGAGAAAAGCGGCCCCUCUGAAAUGGCCAUCAGAACUACAGAACCCCAG
Nematolebias whitei (Rio pearlfish) is the source of this 212-nucleotide long non-coding RNA. RefSeq lists it as uncharacterized. The transcript has 3 exons. Lineage: Eukaryota; Metazoa; Chordata; Actinopteri; Cyprinodontiformes; Rivulidae. The record is from RefSeq and is a predicted model, not a curated record.